UUUUAGAAUUUAAUUUAAAGUCUAACCUGCCCACUGAAAAUUUUAAAUGGCCGCAGUAUCCUAACUGUGCAAAGGUAGCAUAAUCAUUAGUCUUUUAAUUGAAGGCUGGAAUGAAUGGUUGAAUGAAAUAUUAACUGUUUCAUAUAAAUUAAAAAUAGAAUUUUAUUUUUUAGUCAAAAAGCUAAAAUAAAUUUAAAAGACGAGAAGACCCUAUAAAUCUUUAUACUCCUUAAAUUUUAAUUAUUUAGAUUAUUUAAAUUAUAAUUUUAUAAGGUAUUUUAUUGGGGUGAUAUUAAAAUUUGAAUAACUUUUAAUUAAUUUAAACCAUAAAUUAAUGAAUUUAAUGAUCCAUUUAUUAUGAUUAUAAAAUUAAGUUACUUUAGGGAUAACAGCGUAAUUUUUUUAGAGAGUUCUUAUUGAUAAAAA
Molecule: ribosomal RNA, 426 nt
Filed under: Megaselia communiformis
Lineage: Eukaryota; Metazoa; Arthropoda; Insecta; Diptera; Phoridae
Description: partial 16S ribosomal RNA
Source: RNAcentral